Molecule: ribosomal RNA, 388 nt
Filed under: uncultured bacterium
Lineage: Bacteria
Description: bacterial SSU rRNA
Rfam family: Bacterial small subunit ribosomal RNA
Source: RNAcentral
AGUGAACGCUGGCGGCAUGCCUAACACAUGCAAGUCGAACGGUAACAGGCCCGCAAGGGUGCUGACGAGUGGCGGACGGGUGAGGAAUACAUCGGAAUUUGCCCAGUCGUGGGGGAUAACGUAGGGAAACUUACGCUAAUACCGCAUACGACCUAACGGUGAAAGCGGGGGAUCGCAAGACCUCGCGCGGAUGGAUAAGCCGAUGUCGGAUUAGCUAGUUGGCGGGGUAAAGGCCCACCAAGGCGACGAUCCGUAGCUGGUCUGAGAGGAUGAUCAGCCACACUGGGACUGAGACACGGCCCAGACUCCUACGGGAGGCAGCAGUGGGGAAUAUUGGACAAGUGGGGGCAACCCUGAUCCAGCAAUGCCGCGUGUGUGAAGAAGGCCU